This 374-nucleotide long non-coding RNA is filed under the name Carica papaya (papaya). Its description in RNAcentral is "long non-coding RNA (CPAP_LNC000917)". Lineage: Eukaryota; Viridiplantae; Streptophyta; Magnoliopsida; Brassicales; Caricaceae. The record is from RNAcentral.
ACCCGGCCUCUAGUAUUCCAACUUUACAUGUUGACAAGUGAGGCAAAGGGAUAUGAAGGCAAGAAUAUCCCUCUUCAUACCUGGUCACCAGAAACGAGUUUAUAGAUUAUGGUAUAUUUGGGUGCUCCCAGGAUGAACAAUAAAUCUCGAAGAGUGAGCUUCCCUAAGUAUUUCCUAUCUAAGUUCAUGAUCAUCUGGUACCCACAAUCGAUUCCUGAAUCAAUGAAGGUCGUCAUUAGAAACCCUAAAAUUAGAACAUCCGGAGAAAGAUAUUCUCUUUGCUUGAGGACAUGGAGAUCUUUGAAUUGAGCAUACCAGAUUCUCUGGAUGUUAAAGGGUUGCGCAUGAAGGUGACCAAUGUAGGCACCUUCUAU